Molecule: ribosomal RNA, 451 nt
Filed under: uncultured bacterium
Lineage: Bacteria
Description: partial 16S ribosomal RNA
Rfam family: Bacterial small subunit ribosomal RNA
Source: RNAcentral
GUGGGGAAUAUUGGACAAUGGGGGGAACCCUGAUCCAGCCAUGCCGCGUGUGUGAAGAAGGCCUUUUGGUUGUAAAGCACUUUAAGCGAGGAGGAGGCUACCGAGAUUAAUACUCUUGGAUAGUGGACGUUACUCGCAGAAUAAGCACCGGCUAACUCUGUGCCAGCAGCCGCGGUAAUACAGAGGGUGCAAGCGUUAAUCGGAUUUACUUGGCGUAAAGCGCGCGUAGGUGGCCAAUUAAGUCAAAUGUGAAAUCCCCGAGCUUAACUUGGGAAUUGCAUUCGAUACUGGUUGGCUAGAGUAUGGGAGAGGAUGGUAGAAUUCCAGGUGUAGCGGUGAAAUGCGUAGAGAUCUGGAGGAAUACCGAUGGCGAAGGCAGCCAUCUGGCCUAAUACUGACACUGAGGUGCGAAAGCAUGGGGAGCAAACAGGAUUAGAAACCCUUGUAGUCC